This 330-nucleotide small RNA is filed under the name Oryza sativa Japonica Group (Japanese rice). Its description in RNAcentral is "sRNA Os10g0410350". Lineage: Eukaryota; Viridiplantae; Streptophyta; Magnoliopsida; Poales; Poaceae. The record is from RNAcentral.
GGCGGAUCCGGCACCAGAGAGGAAGCCGUGGCGUGGCGGCGCUCACCUCGGGCUCGGAGAGCGGGCGGCACUCCAUGAGCUGCUCGAUCUGGGCGUCCAGGCCGCCGCCGCCGCCGCCGCGCGAGCCCACGGACUCCUCCAUCCUUCCUCCCACCUCCUCCGCCGCAGACAAGAGGGGCACCUGGUCUAACCCUAGCCGGGGGAGAGCUCGUCGCCGGCGAGGGGGAGGCGAGCUGGAGAGAGAGAGAGAGGAGAGAGAUUGAGAUGCGGUUGGGGGGCGCGAGGGGGAGGGAGAUGGUGCAAGGGCAGGGCAGGCAGCCAAAUGCGGGG